Sphaeramia orbicularis (orbiculate cardinalfish) is the source of this 877-nucleotide non-coding RNA. NCBI's taxonomy places the organism in Eukaryota, Metazoa, Chordata, Actinopteri, Kurtiformes, Apogonidae. The record is from the annotation of a RefSeq genome assembly.
UGGCGUUGUGACGAGUAUUCUCAUCUGUUUUCUAUCUGUGACACUUCCUGGAUCAUGUGACAGGAUAUAAUCAGGUGUUUCAUCACUGACAGCAGAUGUCGACUGUUCUGCUCACAAUGACCUCUCUGCUCAUUCUGACUGUUUCUCUGUCUUUUACUGCAGGUGCGACCAGGUCUAGUAAAGUCCACCAGACCCCGUGGUUGCUGGUCCAGAGGGGUCUUUCCGCUCAGAUGGACUGUGCCCAUGACCUCGGUGGGACUUACUUUGAGAUGUCCUGGUACCGACUGACACCGGGUCGGACUCUGGCGCUGCUGGUCUACACCGUGCCCUUUAAAAACCAACCGGACUUUGGAGAUUUCAGCCCCGACAAGUUCUCAGCCACAAAGAACGAGGCGGAGACAGGCUCGUUCACGGUGAAAAAUGUUGAAGUGUCGGACAGCGCCGUGUAUUACUGCAUCGUUAGUACGUACAUGAACACGUUGUAACUCCUCCCCUUCAGGUUCCUUCUAUAUUAUCUGUACAUGUGAGCGAAGGCCACAGAUAAAGAUGAAACAUGACCAGAAACAUCAGCUCCAUCCUUCUGCUCAGUCUCUGCUUCUCCUGUUCUGUGUCCACUCAAGUCCAUCAGGAUCCACCAUUGCUCACAGUGAGAGUCAAUGAUUCCUCUGUAAUCAGCUGCAGCCAUUUGGUUAAAACAUUCAACACCAUAUGGUGGUACUACCAACCCCGAGGAGACACCAGCCUGCUGUUCAUGGGAUACACCAUAAUCUCUAACCCCGUCACAAAGGGUCCAUUUCAUCAGCAUUUUAAAAUAACUGGAGACGGAGCCAGCAAAUCUGAACUUCAUGCACUCCAACACUGGCCAGAAGACGAUGGU